UAUAUUUUCAAGCUCAUCAUUUUUCUUUUUAAUUUUUAUGUAUUAUGUACAAGUUCUUUUCCAUUAAGCAAUUAAAAUGACCUCUGUAGUGAGUUUAAGGCAAGUUAAUCCAAAUCAGUUGACCAUAUGCACCAGAUUAUGAGAAAUCGUUUAGGAUUAAUUGCUCGAGUCAAAUAAGCUCCUAAAAAGAGAAUAAGAUAUUGAGCUUUUCGUAUAAGGGAUUAUACUUGAGCUUAGGUCUACUAAGAUAAAAUCAAUUCAUGUUCAAAGAUCACCUUACCAACAUGUGACUGCCAUCCCAAAUUUCACACAAGGGUCAAGUCCCAUUGGCAAUAUCAUAGCGUGUGCAGUCUAGAUGGUAUAUGAAAAAACUAUACUAAGUAUUCCAUAAAGAUCUAAACAAAAUAAUCGAAAAUAUGCUACAACACAUCAAUUACACUCAUACUUGGUCAUAUGAGGCACCUUCAAGUUUGUCAUAUACAAUGCUGUAGUUAUAAAAAAUAAUAAAUUUUUUUUAAAAAAUCCCCUUUUUUAAAUAAAUGUGCCAAUAAUGCAAAAUAAAAAAUUCAACACAUAAAAUAACAACAAAAAUAUGCAUAUGCCAAUGCAAACCUGAUAAAGAUGCACAUACAUGAACCUACCACCUAUAAAGCAAGUACAAAAAUGAGAUGCAUGUGAUAAUGAUUUAAUCACAAUGAUUAAGCACAAAUACGCACCAAAACUACCUAAUUAGUUAGGUAUAUAAACGCUCCUACCUUUAAGAGCACUGUGAUCUAUUUCAAGAUUUUCAUAUUACUCCUUUACCCAAACUUGUCUAGUGGAAGAAUUAAUCCUUGAAAUGCUCUAGUUCGACUUGAAGGUCCUAUUUAGCGAAUUUAUUUUGACCCAACAUGCAAAAUUAUACAAUUAAAAGCAACAAGUCACUUUUUAAUUGUGUCUAGAUGGUUAAUCAAACAAGUUAAAUUAUCCUACGUUGAACUGCCAUAGUUUGUAAUGAGAAAGUAAUAAAUAACGCAAGAAUUGUUGACAGAGAAAUCCAACUGGGUAAAAACUCUGGGACCAAGCCAGUAAUAUCUACUACCAACAAUGAUGAACUUACAGUACGAUCCAAUCUAGAAAACUCCACUAGACUCGUUGAUCUUUAUUUCUAUUGAAGUUCUGAUUUCUAUUUUUGUUCAGAAAUUUAUGACACCUUGGCAUGAUAUGUCAUAACUCUCCACAAUUAAAACAAGUAGGGAUAAACCUAAGACCAAAGUUAUGUAGUUGUUGAUUUCUAUUCCUAGGUUGGUAGGUCCUAUGCUGUCUAGCAGGCUUUCAUCCUACAAGUCCCUUAUUUUUAGGUUCACGGUUGGGGAUAAACUUAAGCUUGUCAGUGGUAGGGACAAAAAUGAUCUUAGAAGUACUAACAUCAUUGUAAUCAUUCUAUCCUAGACCUCCCUUAUUAUAAGUACAAAAAUGAUCUUAGAAGUGGUAGGGACAAAAAUGAUCUUAGAAGUACUAACAUCAUUGUAAUCAUUCUAUCCUAGACCUCCCUUAUUAUAAGCAGGCUUGCUCAUUCCUAAGAUGCUAUCAAACUUUACUGAACCACUAGAGAACUCAAGGAGUUAGGUGUUGGAAUCCUCAAAAUCGCUUAUCAUGGUCUUAACCUUAUUUUCUAAAGACUCAUUCACAACACUCAACUCAGGAACUCUCUUAGAGGACUUCUGAAGAUCACUCAUCAGAUUGUUAACAUGAGUAUCUAAAGAUUCAUUCACAGAGUUCAACUUACUCAGGAAUAAAGUAGAUUCUUUAAGGUCAACUAAAAGCUUUUCUUUCUGUAAUUCAAGAUAUUUCACUUUCGUACACUAGGCUUUAUUUUUAGUCAAAAUCUUAAGGCUUUCCUCAUACUUAUUAUUACCACUUCGUGGAGCUAAUUAUGGAUAGAUCUCUACAGUGAGGUCUCCAUGGGGAUUAGAAGGAGGACAGGAGGGCCUCCUCCCAGUGGAUGCUAGGAAAGAAUCUUUCAAACCAAAAUUUCAUUAAGAAAUGUUAGGAAUUUAUCCCUACUAUAUAAAAAGGAGAAUGUGAAGUUACUGUAAAAAUCAACAGUGAAUUGUUCCAUUUAUCUUACUAUAGCAAUUUUUUUUCGUUGUGGGAGUAAAAACAACGUCGUUUAUCUUCAAUCAUUUCUCUAUUUUCACACGUCAUUUUACUGCAACCAUUACCUCCACUGCAAUAUUUUUCCAUUUUUACACACUACUUCACCUCAUCUAACCCAACUGAUAAGGAAAAAAACUGAAUGAUUUAACAAAUUAAACAAAAAAAAUUACAGGCAAAAAUAAAAAGAAACAAAAAAGUGGAAGAGGUAAAUAUAGAAUGAAGUCUUUUUAACUUACAACUAUGUAAUAAAAAAAAAAAAAAAAAAAGAGGCACACGCACUUUUCAUGCCCAGAUUUUUGAGAAAAAAUCUCAUUUUUUUAAUAUAAAUCAUUUAAUAUUUUAGAUUUAUUUUACUAAAGAUUUAAAAAAAUAAAAAUAAAAAAUUAGUCUCCAUCCCCCGUUCACUCAGUGCACAAAGCAUACGGAGUGGCACUCCGUGCACAGAGCGAACAUUUUGCCACGUUUCGCAUAUAUUUUACCCUUUUUAUGUAUAGGGCCUUCGUAUGUUUUCAUGCAAGCAGUUCCCCUGUUUAACCACGUUCUAUGCUUGUAUGAUCAGGCACCGUUUCUGACACUAUGAUAUGUCACCGCAAUGAAUUUGACUUCUUCCUUUGUAGUCAUGACGGGAUUCGAGUAAAUUUGAUUCCAUUGAGUAUUGUUUAGAUACGUAGGAUAUUUUGCUUUAUAAUUCUAUUCGAUAUUUGCAUUUCCAGUCAGGGAACUAGCCGUCCAACGCAUUACCAUGUGCUCUAUGAUGAGAACAGAUUUAAUGCAGAUGCUUUACAAAUGCUAACCAAUAGCUUGUGUUAUCCGUAAACUAUCCUUCCUAAAACUUUUAUUUUUUAUGAAUGUACGUUUGCUUGAGGUCGCUUUUAUGUAUUCACAAUUGGAAACCUUUUCCUUUCAGGCAUGCCAGUCCACUUUUGGCGUUGUUAUACUCAAAAGAUUGCAGGAUAUGACUUGAUCACUGAAAUUUGCAAAGUUGUAUCACUAAGUCUGACUUGAGAGGGGAAAAGAUCCCAAGGGAACUGCAAAUAGUAUAAGAUGCAUAACCUUCUCAAGAGAUGAUCUCCUUAUGAAAAAAUAGAACCCAUCUUGGAUGCAAUAUAUGUAAUUGUUUAUAACUUAAAUUUAUAUCAAAAUUCUAAUCACACCAAAUAGAGGCUUACUUUAAAAGCCAACUUUCCAAGAAAACUGCUUGUCUAGAAUGCUGAGAAUCUUCUUUAUUUACCAACAUCACUUGUUUAAUGAACACUGCUACAUGUACACUAUGGUGUACACUUUAAUUUACACUUUGU
Molecule: long non-coding RNA, 3437 nt
Filed under: Olea europaea subsp. europaea
Lineage: Eukaryota; Viridiplantae; Streptophyta; Magnoliopsida; Lamiales; Oleaceae
Source: RNAcentral